AUCUUCAUCUUCAUCUUCAUCUACACCCAAACAAACAAAAACCCUAAUGAAUCUAAUCUUUCAAACUCAAAACACAGCGCAGCUCUCACUCUCUCUCAUCUCAUCAGUCUCUCUCUCGUUUUUCAUCUGGACCGAUCAACCUCGCAAGAGAUCGACUUUCUCUCAUCGCAAGAUCGACCGAUCGACCUCCCUCUCUCAUCGCACCAAUCGACCUCGUAGGAUCGAAUCUUUCUCCAGCAACUCUUAUGUCAGAUGUUGACAAGCAAUUCUUGGCUGCUCCGGUUAAGUCUGCGGUUGACAAAUUCCAGCUCCUUCCCGAGUUCUUGAAGGUGAGAGGGUUGGUGAAGCAACACCUGGACUCUUUCAAG
This is a non-coding RNA of Camellia sinensis, 368 nucleotides long. NCBI's taxonomy places the organism in Eukaryota, Viridiplantae, Streptophyta, Magnoliopsida, Ericales, Theaceae. The record is from RefSeq and is a predicted model, not a curated record.